GAUGAACGCUAGCGGUAGGCUUAAUACAUGCAAGUCGAGGGGCAGCGCGAGUAGCAAUACUUGGCGGCGACCGGCAGACGGGUGCAUAACGCGUACGCAACUUACCUUCAACAGGGGUAUAGCUCAGAGAAAUUUGAAUUAAUCCCCCAUAACAUACAGAGAUGGCAUCAUUUUUGUAUCAAAGUAACAACGGUUGAAGAUGGGCGUGCGUCUGAUUAGAUAGUUGGUGAGGUAACGGCUCACCAAGUCAACGAUCAGUAGCUGAUGUGAGGGCAUGAUCAGCCACACGGGGACUGAGACACGGGCCCGACUCCUACGGGAGGCAGCAGUAGGGAAUAUUGGGCAAUGGACGCAAGUCUGACCCAGCCAUACCGCGUGAAGGACUAAGAUCCUUUGGAUUGUAAACUUCUUUUAUUAGGGAAAAAAAGACUGAUUUCUAUCGGUUCUGAUGGUACCUGAUGAAUAAGCACCGGCUAACUCCGUGCCAGCCGCCGCCGUAA
RNAcentral lists this ribosomal RNA (500 nucleotides) under uncultured bacterium. RNAcentral's name for it is "partial 16S ribosomal RNA". It matches the Rfam family "Bacterial small subunit ribosomal RNA", at positions 28 to 523 of the family's 1533-position model. The record is from RNAcentral.